CCGACGGCGGGAGGCUCUGACACGCUGUCCUUACCCCGGCCGCCGGGAUCGCGCCGAGCCACUGGCGAGACCGGCCCGCAGGCAU
This 85-nucleotide non-coding RNA is filed under the name unclassified sequences. RNAcentral describes it as "c-di-GMP sequence". It matches the Rfam family "c-di-GMP-II-GAG riboswitch aptamer". The record is from Rfam by way of RNAcentral.